This 252-nucleotide ribosomal RNA is filed under the name uncultured bacterium. RNAcentral describes it as "partial 16S ribosomal RNA". It matches the Rfam family "Bacterial small subunit ribosomal RNA", at positions 524 to 776 of the family's 1533-position model. The record is from RNAcentral.
UACGUAGGUCCCGAGCGUUGUCCGGAUUUAUUGGGCGUAAAGCGAGCGCAGGUGGUUUAUUAAGUCUGGUGUAAAAGGCAGUGGCUCAACCAUUGUAUGCAUUGGAGACUGGUAGACUUGAGUGCAGGAGAGGAGAGUGGAAUUCCAUGUGUAGCGGUGAAAUGCGUAGAUAUAUGGAGGAACACCGGUGGCGAAAGCAGCUCUCUGGCCUGUAACUGACACUGAGGCUCGAAAGCGUGGGGAGCAAACAGG